RNAcentral lists this ribosomal RNA (481 nucleotides) under uncultured bacterium. RNAcentral describes it as "partial 16S ribosomal RNA". It matches the Rfam family "Bacterial small subunit ribosomal RNA", at positions 28 to 507 of the family's 1533-position model. The record is from RNAcentral.
GAUGAACGCUGGCGGCGUGCUUAACACAUGCAAGUCGAACGAAGCAUUUAAGACAGAUUACUUCGGUUUGAAGUCUUUUAUGACUGAGUGGCGGACGGGUGAGUAACGCGUGGGUAACCUGCCUCAUACAGGGGGAUAGCAGCUGGAAACGGCUGGUAAUACCGCAUAAGCGCACAGUACCACAUGGUACAGUGUGAAAAACUCCGGUGGUAUGAGAUGGACCCGCGUCUGGUUAGCUUGUUGGCGGGGUAACGGCCCACCAAGGCGACGAUCAGUAGCCGACCUGAGAGGGUGACCGGCCACAUUGGGACUGAGACACGGCCCAGACUCCUACGGGAGGCAGCAGUGGGGAAUAUUGCACAAUGGAGGAAACUCUGAUGCAGCGACGCCGCGUGAGUGAAGAAGUAGUUCGCUAUGUAAAGCUCUAUCAGCAGGGAAGAUAGUGACGGUACCUGACUAAGAAGCUCCGGCUAAAUACGUG